GGGUGCGAUCAUACCAACGUUAAUGCACCAGAUCCCAUCAGAACUCCGCAGUUCAGCACGCUUGGGCCAGAGUAGUACUGGGACGAGUGACCUCUCGGGAAGUCCUAGUGUUGCACACU
Non-coding RNA from Picea glauca (white spruce), 119 nucleotides. The record is from Rfam. Lineage: Eukaryota; Viridiplantae; Streptophyta; Pinopsida; Pinales; Pinaceae.